Molecule: non-coding RNA, 302 nt
Organism: Nicotiana tabacum (common tobacco)
Lineage: Eukaryota; Viridiplantae; Streptophyta; Magnoliopsida; Solanales; Solanaceae
Source: RefSeq, a predicted model, not a curated record
AUUGUCUUUCAUGAACCAAGACCACCUCCUCAAGUCUUGCAAUCUUCUGGAAUAUAUCCCCAUAUGUAGCUCUGCUCCAGGUUUCAUGCUUUGUCCAGAAGUUAAGAAAUCUGAAUGACUUCUUAAUUGGAGGAGUUUCUAUAUCACAUUUCAGCAGCAUUGGGCAAUGAUCAGACCCGAUUUUGGAUAGGUAUUGAUGCAGUGUCUGAAGUCAUCUACUUCAAUGAGGGAAACUGGCAAUCCCCCAUAUUUCUCUUCCUCAUCCCAUAUCACAUUAAAGUCGCCUCCAACUAGCCAAGGUA